This 349-nucleotide long non-coding RNA is filed under the name Macaca mulatta (Rhesus monkey). Its description in RNAcentral is "lncRNA (ENSMMUG00000041390.2)". The record is from RNAcentral. Lineage: Eukaryota; Metazoa; Chordata; Mammalia; Primates; Cercopithecidae.
CGGGCCGCGCGCAUUCCCCUCUUCCAGAGGGGCCUCUUUAACGGCUCCCCAUGAAAUAAUCAUUCAUUAUGUCACCAGGAGGGAAGAAAGGGAGUAUUUUGUGAAGCCGUCCCAUUCAAAGCCACCCCCAGAGGCCGGGAGGAGACCACAAAGCUGAGAACACAGCCGGGACCUGCCCACUGACACACUGAAGACUCAACACGAUUCAGGAUCCUCUAAACUAUGUAAAACAAAACAGAGGAGAGAAAAUGUUAACAUGAUUAUCUCUGGGAGGAAAAAAGAGAUGGACCCUCCGCCUCACAGUUUUGAAAACACCAGCAGCAGUUAUCCUGCUGCUCCUUGCUAGAGA